CACACUAUUGCAUUCAUGGAUGGUGUCACUUUACCAAAUACUUCCUUUUCUAAAGCAACAAAAAAUAAAUCAGUUGUAAGAGAAAGUAUAUAUACUUUCUGAUCUUCCCUUUUGUUAUAAACAAUUUCCCAAGUGCCUGCUCAAGGUUACACUUUCUCUAACAGUUACUUUAACAGGUUUUACUGUCUCUAUUUACUCUUUUAGCUUUUCUAGUCCUUAAGGCUAAGUAGAAACCCUAAUCCUUGUGUUUACCCAGACAUUUUCUAAGGUCAAGGACAACUAUCCAAGCUGGUUAAUGGCUAUAUUCUUUAAAAAUAUUCUAGGUUUGGUUCAGUACUUAAAAUCAUCCAAUGCCUUCGAUGGCAGUGUUAAUCAUUGUAUUCCAUACUUUUUUUUUGCCUACCUCUCCUUACAGAAUCAGCCUCCAUUUUUCUUCUGGAGAUUUACCCUUUCCCCAUUCUCAGUCUAUGAGGUCUCGAUGGCAUUCUGACCCUUACAUCAAGAGUGGAGCUGUGACUUAGAACCAAGACAAUUUACACAUGUGUUCCUGAGGUGGGUACAUGACCUAAACCAGUGCAAUCUGAGGACAUUUCAAGACUUUUAAGAAUGCCACCAGCAGAUAUAUUUUUUCUCCAUUGGAUAUGAAUUUAAGAUGCCAAAGCUAUCAUUUCUGCAGCCAUCUAAUGACCAUGAGGGAACUGUCUGAGAUUGGAGCCAACCUGAAAGACAUGGAGGUGAAGAGUUGGAAAUAUUUCUGCCUUAUCAAACAGCCUCAGUUCCAGAGAGAGACUCAGAACAUCUGCCAUUGGUUGAUGUCAUCACAGCCGCCUAGAAGAACAAUUUUCUACGGUGAUGCACGUUCUGUGAUGUCACUGGGAUUACAAAAACUGGCAAGGACAUCUGCUAUUAGCACUUAUCACUGGAAAUUACAA
Molecule: long non-coding RNA, 932 nt
Organism: Camelus dromedarius (Arabian camel)
Lineage: Eukaryota; Metazoa; Chordata; Mammalia; Artiodactyla; Camelidae
Exons: 3
Source: RefSeq, a predicted model, not a curated record